CUGUAAUAGUCCUCUACAACCGGAACCCUUGUUUUUACUUAAACGUUCCCCCCGGAAUGGUUAUUUCGUAGUACAUGCUAAAAGCUGUUAGUGAGAGGUAAAGUAGUAUUCAACAUGGCAGAGACCCACAGCUUGCAGGACAUGAGGCAACAGGCAGCCGUUGCUGCCAAAGUCUUCAUUCAGAGAGAUUAUACCAAAGGCACUGUGUGCCAGUUCCAAACCAAGUUCCCCUCUGAGCUGGAGACCCGGAUUGACAAGCAGCAGUUUGAGGAGACGGUGCAGACACUGAAUAACCUGUACGCUGAAGCGGAGAAACUGGGAAGCCAGUCAUAUAUUGAAGGCUGUCUGGCCUGCCUCACAGCCUACACCAUCUUCCUGUGUAUGGAGACUCACUAUGAGAAGGUUUUGAAGAAGAUUGCAAAGUACAUUCAGGAGCAGAAUGAUAAGAUCUACGCACCACGAGGCCUCCUGCUCACCGAUCCCAUCGAGAGAGGCCUGCGAGUUAUCGAAGUUACUAUCUUUGAAGACAGAAGCUAGAUAAAAGCUGCCAUGAUCGAGCAGUAAUAAAAGAGGACUCACUAUGUGUACCAGAGAUACAAGCAGCUGUUUGGCUGAGCAGAGGUACAAGUCUGCAGCAGCCCAGCACCAGUGGCCAGCUCCCUGAGGACCCCCAGACCUGCACCUUUUAAUACUGCGUCUCUACAAUCUAUCUCUUUCUGCUAAUCAUGUGCAUGUUCAGAAUAUCUUUUCCCCAUGCAUUAAUUAAGGGCUUGUUACUGUAUAUCCUUGUAUUUGGUUGGAGAAAACAAACUCACUUACACAUUGUAUUGGCAUUCUUUAAACCAUGAGUAAUUAUCCUUUAUCUUGGACUAAAAACAACUUUAUGAACUUUUGUAUAUUUGGUUUUUGGACCCUCCUUUUUGAAUAAUAAACAGACAGGGUAUUUUUUUAUGAAGGACUAUGGAACUCAUCCACACACAUGCUUUAAUUGAUUGUCUUGGCUGAACUGAGGCUUUUAUGUAAUCAAGAAACUGAACUCUGGUUAUUAGUGUGAUUUGUUUCACAUCCAGCACCCCACAGUUUGUUGGCUUUAUUCUUAUUCAUGUAUUCUUGCAAGGAUGCUUGGUAGUUUAUCAUCUUCCCUGCAUGUUUACUUUGUAGCAUUUUACCUUAUAGUUAACUGACAACACUGAACUUUGUCAGGAUCCAAACAUUCCUGUCAAAUGUCACAGAUUCUGACCUUAAUGUAUAUCUUUGAUUUUUUGAUAUUGUCAAUUUUUUUCUUUUUUAUAAACUGUGCUAUGCAUAGUGUUUGACUACUGUUGAGCUUUGGCUCAUGUCUAAUAAGCAUAUAUUCAUAUUUUGUGAGAUUGCCUUUGACCGAAGUAUUAAAAGUGCUCUUGUUAGUUGACAGUGCCUGUAAUGGUUUUGAAUGUUUCCUUUGUUAAAGUCUAAGGUGCUGCUUACACCAGGACUUAAAACAGAGAUUUCAAUUAAUUCCAAUGACUACAAGUGAAUUUGCUCAUGGGGGCUAAAGAAACUCAGUUAAAAUGUUUUGCGUCAAGUUUAACGUUUGUGAAUUUGACCUUCAAAUUUGCAUUUUUGACCAACAGCCAGCUUCCUUGACUGUACCAAUUCUCCUGUUGGCAACAGUGCUAAGCUAACAAGCUUGUUAGCUCUAAGAGCUUUUUUCCCUCUUUAAUAACUUUUUUUAUUGAUUGAAAUGGUGUAAACUAGUGAUCAGGGGGGGGGUAUAAACAGAACAAUAGAGGGAAUAUUUCCAGCUGGCUGGGCUAGCACCAGAUUUAGCAGUUAGCUUGCCAGCUACAGCAUUUCCCCAGCUAGCCCUGUGAGUACGGUCACCAAGCUUUAGAACCAAAUACUUUGUAAAGACGCAACAGAAACAUUUUACCGCACCAGUUUGUGUGUUCAGUGUGACCAGACCUUAACUGUGAACUCAUGUCAGUCAGAUCUUGGCUUUGUCCCCUGUUGCUAACAAGCAUCUAAAACCUAAGAUUAUGAUAUGUAUGUAACCCUAACAAAGGUUGAAUAUACUGUAGUACGUAUGACUGGUAAUGUUAAAUUAUGAAAUAACUACAUGUACAAGUAUAUAUUUCUGAAUGCCAUAGCUAUGGAUCAAUUAUCUUGAUUUCUAAGUAUGUAAAUAAUAUUUCAUGAAUGAGUUUUGAUUUAGCUCAUACUUUAUUUAUCUGGAGUUUUCUAUUUUUUUUUUCUGUUGAAAUCCAAUGUUUUAUUAAUCUAAACUUGUAUGCUAACAAAUAAAAUGUGUACAUAUUUUA
This is an RNA transcript of Perca fluviatilis (European perch), 2300 nucleotides long. It is a transcript of the gene named golgin subfamily A member 7-like, with no coding region annotated. The record is from RefSeq and is a predicted model, not a curated record. NCBI's taxonomy places the organism in Eukaryota, Metazoa, Chordata, Actinopteri, Perciformes, Percidae. The transcript has 7 exons.